UUUAUGGAGAGUUUGAUCCUGGCUCAGAGUGAACGCUGGCGGCGUGCCUAAUACAUGCAAGUCGAACGAUGAAGCUUCUAGCUUGCUAGAAUGCUGAUUAGUGGCGCACGGGUGAGUAACGCAUAGGUCAUGUGCCUCUUAGUUUGGGAUAGCCAUUGGAAACGAUGAUUAAUACCAGAUACUCCCUACGGGGGAAAGAUUUAUCGCUAAGAGAUCAGCCUAUGUCCUAUCAGCUUGUUGGUAAGGUAAUGGCUUACCAAGGCUAUGACGGGUAUCCGGCCUGAGAGGGUGAACGGACACACUGGAACUGAGACACGGUCCAGACUCCUACGGGAGGCAGCAGUAGGGAAUAUUGCUCAAUGGGGGAAACCCUGAAGCAGCAACGCCGCGUGGAGGAUGAAGGUUUUAGGAUUGUAAACUCCUUUUGUUAGAGAAGAUAAUGACGGUAUCUAACGAAUAAGCACCGGCUAACUCCGUGCCAGCAGCCGCGGUAAUACGGAGGGUGCAAGCGUUACUCGGAAUCACUGGGCGUAAAGAGCGCGUAGGCGGGAUAGUCAGUCAGGUGUGAAAUCCUAUGGCUUAACCAUAGAACUGCAUUUGAAACUACUAUUCUAGAGUGUGGGAGAGGUAGGUGGAAUUCUUGGUGUAGGGGUAAAAUCCGUAGAGAUCAAGAGGAAUACUCAUUGCGAAGGCGACCUGCUGGAACAUUACUGACGCUGAUUGCGCGAAAGCGUGGGGAGCAAACAGGAUUAGAUACCCUGGUAGUCCACGCCCUAAACGAUGGAUGCUAGUUGUUGGAGGGCUUAGUCUCUCCAGUAAUGCAGCUAACGCAUUAAGCAUCCCGCCUGGGGAGUACGGUCGCAAGAUUAAAACUCAAAGGAAUAGACGGGGACCCGCACAAGCGGUGGAGCAUGUGGUUUAAUUCGAAGAUACACGAAGAACCUUACCUAGGCUUGACAUUGAGAGAAUCCGCUAGAAAUAGUGGAGUGUCUGGCUUGCCAGACCUUGAAAACAGGUGCUGCACGGCUGUCGUCAGCUCGUGUCGUGAGAUGUUGGGUUAAGUCCCGCAACGAGCGCAACCCCCUUUCUUAGUUGCUAACAGGUCAUGCUGAGAACUCUAAGGAUACUGUCUCCGUAAGGAGGAGGAAGGUGGGGACGACGUCAAGUCAUCAUGGCCCUUACGCCUAGGGCUACACACGUGCUACAAUGGGGUGCACAAAGAGAAGCAAUACUGCGAAGUGGAGCCAAUCUUCAAAACACCUCUCAGUUCGGAUUGUAGGCUGCAACUCGCCUGCAUGAAGCUGGAAUCGCUAGUAAUCGCAAAUCAGCCAUGUUGCGGUGAAUACGUUCCCGGGUCUUGUACUCACCGCCCGUCACACCAUGGGAGUUGUGUUUGCCUUAAGUCAGGAUGCUAAAUUGGCUACUGCCCACGGCACACACAGCGACUGGGGUGAAGUCGUAACAAGGUAACCGUAGGUGAACCUGCGGUUGGAUCACCUCCUUUCUAGA
Molecule: ribosomal RNA, 1509 nt
Filed under: Helicobacter pylori
Lineage: Bacteria; Pseudomonadati; Campylobacterota; Epsilonproteobacteria; Campylobacterales; Helicobacteraceae
Description: bacterial SSU rRNA
Rfam family: Bacterial small subunit ribosomal RNA
Source: RNAcentral